CAGCCGCCACGGUAAUCCGUAGGUGGCAAGCGUUGUCCGGAAUUAUUGGGCGUAAAGGGCUCGCGGGCGGUUUCUUAAGUCUGAUGUGAAAGCCCCCGGCUCAACCGGGGAGGGUCAUUGGAAACUGGGAAACUUGAGUGCAGAAGAGGAGAGUGGAAUUCCACGUGUAGCGGUGAAAUGCGUAGAUAUAUGGAGGAACACCAGUGGCGAAGGCGACUCUCUGGUCUGUAACUGACGCUGAGGCGCGAAAGCGUGGGGAGCAAACAGGAUUAGAUACCCGGGUAGUCCCUGUCUCUUAUAC
Molecule: ribosomal RNA, 301 nt
Filed under: uncultured bacterium
Lineage: Bacteria
Description: partial 16S ribosomal RNA
Rfam family: Bacterial small subunit ribosomal RNA
Source: RNAcentral